Molecule: long non-coding RNA, 710 nt
Organism: Oncorhynchus tshawytscha (Chinook salmon)
Lineage: Eukaryota; Metazoa; Chordata; Actinopteri; Salmoniformes; Salmonidae
Exons: 4
Source: RefSeq, a predicted model, not a curated record
CAACACACUGUCCCUCCACUCCUCUACGUCUGGCCCAACACACUGUCCCUCCGCUCUAGGUCUGGCCCAACACAUCCCUCCGCUCUAGGUCUGACCCAACACGCUGUCUCUCCCUCCGCUCUAGGUCUGGCCCAACACGCUGUCUCUCCCCUCUAGGUCUGGCCCAACACACUCUCCCUCCGCUCUAGGUCUGGCCCAACAUGUCCCUCUGCUCUAGGUCUGGCCCAGCACGCUGUCCCUCCGCUCUAGGACUGGCCCAACACGCUGUCCCUCCGCUCUAGGUCUGGCCCAACACGCUGUCCCUCCGCUCUAGGUCUGUACCAAAACGCUGUCCCUCCGCUCUAGGUCUGGCCCAACACGUUGUCCCUCUGCUCUAGGUCUGGCCCAACACACUGUCCCUCCACUCUAGGUCUGGCCCAACACACUGUCCCUCCGCUCUAGGUCUGGCCCAACACGUCCCUCCGCUCUAGGUCUGGCCCAACACACUCUCCCUCCGCUCUAGGUCUGGCCCAACAUGUCCCUCUGCUCUAGGUCUGGCCCAGCACGCUGUCCCUCCGCUCUAGGUCUGGCCCAACACACUGUCCCUCCACUCUAGGUCUGGCCCAACACGCUGUCCCUCCGCUCUAGGUCUGGCCCAACACACUGUCCCUCCGCUCUAGGUCUGGCCCAACACGUCCCUCCGCUCUAGGUCUGACCCAACACGCUGUCUC